Molecule: transfer-messenger RNA, 189 nt
Filed under: Escherichia coli
Lineage: Bacteria; Pseudomonadati; Pseudomonadota; Gammaproteobacteria; Enterobacterales; Enterobacteriaceae
Description: partial transfer-messenger RNA
Rfam family: transfer-messenger RNA
About the family: Bacterial tmRNA, also known as 10Sa RNA or SsrA, is named for its dual tRNA and mRNA-like properties.
Source: RNAcentral
GGGGCUGAUUCUGGAUUCGACGGGAUUUGCGAAACCCAAGGUGCAUGCCGAGGGGCGGUUGGCCUCGUAAAAAGCCGCAAAAAAUAGUCGCAAACGACGAAAACUACGCUUUAGCAGCUUAAUAACCUGCUUAGAGCCCUCUCUCCCUAGCCUCCGCUCUUAGGACGGGGAUCAAGAGAGGUCAAACCC